AAGGAACGCUGGCAGCGUGCAUAACACAUGCAAGUCGAACGAUGACAAAUUCUUAGGGAUUUUGAAGAGUGGCGAACGGGUGAGGAACACGUAAGAAUCUGCCCCUCGGUCGGGGACAACUUUUGGAAACGAAAGCUAAUACCCGAUAUGCUGUGGAGUGAAAGAAUUUCGCCGAGGGAUGAUCUUGCGUCUGAUUAGCUAGUUGGUAUGGUAAUGGCAUACCAAGGCGACGAUCAGUAGCUGGUCUGAGAGGAUGAACAGCCACAUUGGAACUGAGACACGGUCCAAACUCCUACGGGAGGCAGCAGUGGGGAAUUUUCCGCAAUGGACGAAAGUCUGACGGAGCGACGCUGCGUGAAGGAUGAAGGCCCGCGGGUUGUAAACUUCUUUUCUCGAAGAAGAAGCUCUGACGGUAUUCGAGGAAUAAGCAUCGGCUAACUCCGUGCCAGCAGCCGCGGUAAGACGGAGGAUGCAAGUGUUAUUCGGAAUGAUUGGGCGUAAAGAGUCUGUAGGCGGUAUGGAAAGUCUUUUGUUAAAUUCCUCGGCUCAA
Molecule: ribosomal RNA, 550 nt
Filed under: uncultured phototrophic eukaryote
Lineage: Eukaryota
Description: bacterial SSU rRNA
Rfam family: Bacterial small subunit ribosomal RNA
Source: RNAcentral